RNAcentral lists this ribosomal RNA (393 nucleotides) under uncultured bacterium. RNAcentral describes it as "partial 16S ribosomal RNA". It matches the Rfam family "Bacterial small subunit ribosomal RNA", at positions 523 to 918 of the family's 1533-position model. The record is from RNAcentral.
AUACGGAGGAUCCGAGCGUUAUCCGGAUUUAUUGGGUUUAAAGGGUGCGCAGGCGGGAGGUUAAGUCGGCGGUGAAAUUUUGCAGCUCAACUGUAAAAGUGCCUUCGAAACUGGUUUCCUUGAGUGUAGAUGAAGUAGGCGGAAUUUGUGGUGUAGCGGUGAAAUGCAUAGAUAUCACGAGGAACUCCGAUUGCGCAGGCAGCUUACUAAACUACUACUGACGCUCAGGCACGAAGGCGUGGGGAUCAAACAGGAUUAGAUACCCUGGUAGUCCACGCAGUAAACGAUGAUUACUAGCUGUUUGCGAUACAAUGUAAGCGGCUGAGCGAAAGCGUUAAGUAAUCCACCUGGGGAGUACGUUCGCAAGAAUGAAACUCAAAUGAAUUGACGGGG